Long non-coding RNA from Chiroxiphia lanceolata (lance-tailed manakin), 7731 nucleotides. RefSeq lists it as uncharacterized. The transcript is spliced from 4 exons. The record is from RefSeq and is a predicted model, not a curated record. Lineage: Eukaryota; Metazoa; Chordata; Aves; Passeriformes; Pipridae.
GUUCUCUAGUUUAAUUUAUUGUUUUCAUUAAAUACAGUGCACUAAGUAGUAGAUGAUGUCUGUGCUAUCUAGAUGGCUAGAAUAACGCCUAAAAUUUGUCAGCAGUACCACUUCUUUCUCUACCUAUCCCAAAUUCAAUUAAAAUUCUAUUUUUGUGAUAUGUGACAAUCUAGGAUACUUGUGUUACGGUAAUUCAAGCUAUAAUUGCCUUAAUCUCACAUAAUCCAGAUACAUCUAAGAAACAUAUUUUGAGUUACAAAUUUUGUUUUCUAAUAUUGGAAGUAACAUAGGUAGAUGGAAACUAAAUUAGAAAAGUUUGUUUCAUAUUACUUUUAUGUUAUGUAAUGCUCUCUGUUAGGUUGGUAUUACUUAAACUGUGCUUAGAAUUUUAAAAAUUGCCACUUAAUGUAUAAUUAACAGAGUUAGUUGUUGGAGUCCCUUUUAUCAUAGAAACCUGUGUUUAGGUUUUUAUUUUGUCUGACAAUGAAAAAAAUAAGAGAGCAAAUAUUAGGGUAAAGACUGCAUUUGUGGUGAGAGCUAGCUAGUGUUUUUAUCAACUUUAUUUUCUGCUCCAAAAUUUUGGCUGAAAGGUGAGUCUAGAGACUCGAGAUAACCUCACAGCUUUAUAGCCUUAGAAAUGCUCAGGAACCAAGAAGAAUUAUAUGCUUUGAUUUUGUGGACUACAGUUUCCAGACAGCUAUCUCCCUACAAACCAGGGCUAGGAGGAGAAUGUGAAAAACAAGGAACCAGGUAAAAACUGAACAUAUAAUUUUUGUGUUUAAACAAAGAAUAUUAAGAAAUUAUUAAGGGAAUUGCUACAAGAAUGGUGGGUAAUUUGACCUCUUUGCCUUCUGCUAGAUUGCAUGUCCUCUGGUAGGAUUUGAUAUAGAACAUGAAAAGAACAUGAGAGGUCUCCACAGACAGUUCAGUCUCCAACAUGUUACUCAGUACAGACACCAGCUGCCUUUUAGUGGACAUAAGUACUUUUUCAGCCAGGAAAUUCUGCAUAACAAUAAUGUCAUAAGAGGGUAAAUCUGUUGGAUUUGUGUUUCAAGGAAUGAAUAAAAGUAACUGUUUCCCUCAAUUACUUUUCCUACCCCAGAAGGGUAGGGAAAGUUGGUUGGUUUGUUUCUCAGUUUUUAACAAAGGUCAUUCUGGUCCCUUUGUGUCUCCUUAUGUUUGAGCAACUGGCACACUGAUGUAGGGAUACAGCAAGCAUAUUUUUGCUUCUCUCUGUAGCACCAAACAGCUCCUACAGUAGUUACUGGUCUUCCUUGGGGCAUUUGGAGACUGCAGCAGAGGUGUGAAGAGAGUCAGGGCUCUGGUCAGGAGCCGUCUGCUGUGCUCAGGGAGGAACAAAGAUGUUGCUACCACAUAUUCCAUUGGUGUUAAGAUGAAGCAAGCAGGCAGCUUGGCUUUAAAUACAAGGUAUUCUCUCCUGCCUCCCCUGGCUGCCUCUCUGAAUUGUCCCUGAUGUUUGACCAUCUUAUUUAGUUCCAUUCACCCUCCUACACUGAUUUUUUUUUUUCUCCCAAAGAUUUCUACUGUGUUGUGGAGCAUGUAACUGGGAAAAUUGAAGUUCAGAGCACUAAUACCUUGAGCUUCUGGGUCUAAGUCACCUUUUUUUAAUGCCUAAGAGGAAAAUAAUGAACUGAUUUCUGUACAUAAAGGAAACAUUUCUGUCUAGAAGUAUAUCCUGCAUGAAGUACAUAACUAGAUAUAUGGCCAAUGGGCCAUUUAUUUUAGAUAAGUAAUGUAUAUAUUUUAUGCUAAUUAUUUGCACAGAUGUUAAUUCUAUGGGAGACAAAUUAACCAAUAUCCUCAAGUAAGUUAAGCUCAGCAUUCUUUGUAUCAUUAGGUUAGAUUUCAUGUCAAAAGAUUGAUUGUUAUGCUUUUUUAUGAAGGAAAAAGUACCAUAAAAAAUUACACAUAAUGUAAUCACAGGUAUUGAAGAUGUUGAAGUAAAAAUAUCUCUGUGCAGUGACAGACAAAGGAAGACCUUUUCUAAUAGACAUAACUGUCUUUUUUCCUUUAAAGUUGGUUCGUUUUUUCAUGACAUGAAAUUCGGGGAGUCCAGUAGUGACUUGUUUCUUUUCUUAGUCUAUCAACUACAAAUUCAGUUGAUUUAACUACAUUAUUUUUUAUGCAAAAUGGCAAUAGAUAUUGUAACAAAUAUUCCAGCAUCACACAGUUCUCUACCAAAGCCCAACCAUUUUGAUUUUUGAGAUUAGUUUGUAGUAUGUUCUUUCUUCCACUGGAGGAGUCAGAGGGUUUAAGGUGACAAAGGGGUCAUCUGGGAGAGCUCAUGGAAAAGCGAGUGAAAAGGAUGAUGUUUUAACUUAAUAUUCUAACAACAUUGUGAGGCACACUACAGGAAAUCAGAAGUUCCCAUCUUCUGAUUCCCUUGAAUAAAGAACUGUACUUGAGAAGGCUCAUAAUAUAUCACAGCUCCCCUACUGGGGAUGAUAAGUACAACUCAUACAUAGCAUGCAGUUUCAGGAAAGAGCUGAUUAUAAAACAUUAGACUAACCUUGUAUAGACACAGUAUGUUUUGCAGGUGUAAAAGGACAAAAGAAUCAAGGUUCCUUCAUUUCAUAUGCCUUGUCAUCUUGGUGUAUAACUAUAGCUUUAGCACAUGUGCAUCUUUUCGUUGUCACCACUCACUUAUACCGCUGGUACCUAUUAUGCUCUGUAUGGUUUUUAUCCUCUAUAAUCCUUUUAUUCUCUCUGUGACUUUGCAAAUGUACUCCACAAUGGUUUGAAGAUUAAUCCCAUAAUUAAAGGACAUAGUUAAACAAUGUAAUUCUGGCUUGCUUAUACUAAAGAGGCAUGUACAAUCUUCAACUAUUAAGUUACAUCUAAAAGUAUAAUUCACUUGAAGAAACAAAGACCAGCAAAUAUUUUCAAAAGAAGGAUUUGCAGCUUUCAUGACGUAUCAGUAGAAACACCUGUCCUGAUUAUUAAACAGAAAAGGCUUCAUUUUCCCAGUACAUCAAGGUAAGAAACCACAAUUGAUUGAAGAGGCAGUGAUGUGCUGAAUCAUAAUCUGAAUAUCCAACAGCACAAAUUACUCCAAUUCCUAUUUGAUGCCUUGUCUGCCUAUGGAUAAGCAGGUCAUAAGCUCAUUCAAGUCCUGUUUCUUCAGUUACCAAUGUGCUCUGAUAGAUGCCUUUAUUUCAGAAAGCUGUCCCACAUCUCCUGCUAUAACAAAGUCAUCCUGCUGUCUGAACAAUAAUAGACUAAGCAAUCCAGCCUGCUGCCAGAAUUCAGCAAGGCACAGAUGGAAGUUACAGUCAUCAGAUGUUUGAGCAGCAGAAUACCCUGCUUCUAGUCAUUUGUACUGAAGUGUUUCACCUAGAGGAUUACUUUAUCCACUUGAUCUCUUCAGUUUUGGCUUAAAAUGGAACCCUGGUGAUGAGUUUUAUAGUUAAUGGUCCAUCUAGAUCCGUAUAUAAUGGCCCACUAGGACUUUCCUUAACUUGCAACCAUGGGAAAAAAAAUUAUGUGUUAACCUCAAAAUAUGAAUUCUGUCCUUUUUUUUUUUGGAUAAAAGAAUGCAUCUGAUAGAGUGUUAUAGAAAUACUGAGAGAAAUCCUGUCUGUCCUGUGAGUAAAACCCUGAGGGUAGAAGGGACUGAAUCAUAACAAAUGUUUCACAGAUUGCCAAAAUACCUGUAGGAAGCAUGACGUUGUUGAGUAACUGAGCAGCACAUGUAUUUUUUAAUAAAGUCAUCAAUAUCAUAUGCAUUACUUUAAAAACGUUGAACAAAAUACUGUAAUGUAUCGACUCUGUGCAGGCUGUGUAGGGUAAGGGGGAAUUUCAGGCAAAUGCAAGGAGGGCAAAAGAAACAGUGGGAAGGGUUUGAUGGAAAGAGUUUUACUGAGUCUGAGGCCUUGACUGGAGUGGAGGGGAUCAAGAGAGAGUUUAUAAACUGUGACAGGUAAAGCUGGUCAACGACCCAAGGAGUAUGGGCCCUGCCCAAAAGUUCUUGGCCUCAAUAUGACUCAGAGAUCCAAUGUCACUGAGCUAUUUCGGUUGAAUAAACUCUCCUACACAGAUAUCUCUCCCUUGCUUUCUUUCCCAUUCUCUGCCUGGAAGAAAAACCACUAUUUUAGUUACCAUGUGUGAUCUUUCUGCUUUUGUCAAUCUCUACUGUAAGGGAAAAUAAAGAAUUGAAAAGUAGUGUCCUUUCUAUGGAACAGGUAGCAACAAUCCUGUAAUCUCUAUUUGAAAUCUAUUGGUAGCUGGAAAUAGGAAUUUGAUGUUCUUUCUCUUAGAGUUUCAGAAAUGGUGCUGGACUACCAAGAUUAACUCUUUAUACUAGUGUUUGUCCUUCUGUGUUCCUUCUGAAAUGUAUUUUCUGAAAGAAUUCCUGUUACCCUAAACUCAACUUUCUCACUUCCUAAUUACUACUCUUAGUAAGGUCAGGUUGUAGGCUGGUUUGUUUUCUGAAAAACUCUAGAAUUAGGAUCUCUUAAAGGCUGUCAGAGGCUGAAAAGUAUAGAAACAGUUCCAGUGGGAUACAUUUGACCAGAACAGUGUUAAAGUCUGUUCAUAAAGGUCAGUCUUUUUCAUAUCCCAGAGUAAUGAGAUUCUGUCAAAGCAUAAGCCUCCUACCAACUUACUUUAAUAUCUAUAUACAUUUUUAUAUAUACGCAUAAUUUUUCUUUUUUUAAAUCUUUGUGCUUCUUUAGAACAGAGUGUGAAGGGAAGGUGGGGGAGACAGGCAGGAGCACACUCUAUUCAAUCCCAGAGUAGUCCAUGUUUUAUGCAGAAAGAGAACUAGUUUAAACGGAGAGUAGCAAAACCACAUAGAUGGAAAUACAUUGUACUGAGGACACUUUUUAGAAGAUUCUGUGAUCUUUGUAAAUAAUUACUCUUCACUGCUGAAAAGCCAGGUGUGUGUACAGGUAAAUAAAGUGAAUCAUCAGAAUAACCUGCAGCAGAUGAUGCAGUGGUCAAUUCACCGUGCUUUUUCCUUCUUUCCUGUGUCAACAUUAAACUUUCCAUUAUUUUUGAUCUCUCUUGCGGUCAUAACAUCAAGUAUGGUAAGUGCCAUUCCUGCUUACUGUAAACUGGCACAGCUGAGACACAAAAGCUCCUGACACUUAACCCAUAAUCUACAUGUGCAUCCCUAGUGUACAUAUAUACAUACGUGUGUGUAUAAAGAGCCAGAUUCUAAAGGAAAGGUUUACUGUAAGAAUCUUGUAAAUCACAAUUUCAAAAUUACUUAUGUCUUUUAUGUUUCUCUUAGUUAUGUUCUUUCAAGAUGAGGCAGUACAUGAUUUGCCAAAGUUUUGUUUCCUUAAAACACUUGUAUUUUAGAUAGUAAAUGUGGAGCUCCUUUUAUGCAGCCAUUGUAGUAUGUGCUCAUAACUUGUUUUGAACCCUAAUGCUGGAUUUUAAUUCUUCUCCUUUCCUCUAUUUCUGCUGUUAAACAGAAAACUUGAGACAUAAAUGACUAUUAGAGCUGAUGCAAAAUUAUUUGUGUGACAAGUAUGCAGUUGUGACUGCCAAGCAUAAAUAUUGCAAAAAUCAUACAUUUAAAGCAUGUACAUGAGGCUACAAAUACAGAAUUUGAUUUUCUUAAAAAUAACUGCCUACCUAAAGAUUGUGGUUACACGAAUAGCUCCUUCCCGUGGAAAUGACAGGACAGGAGUAGGAUGUUCAUGCGUUGAAACUGUGCAGCCAUUUUACUACAAAUCAUAAAUGAUUUAGAGGGCAAGUUCAACAAAGUGACUCUUUGUACAGACAUGAAGAGAGGAAUGUUCAAACAUGAGGAAGUGUUCAAACAUUUAGAAUUUAACUGGACCUGUCUGAAAGACCGAAGAAUAAAAGCCAUCUGUUUGAGUACUGAAACUUCUGUUUCUAUGUAUGUAUGCAAAUAAUUGCUAGUGUAGUUGUUUAGCUUGCCCUUAGGUGUUUUGAAUCAUGUAUGUACCUUAUGUUGCAUCAAGAUACUCUGAUUGCAAAUAGCAGUUGAAUGGUGCUGCUACCAACAGUUUCACAUCCUCCUGCCCUGGUGAAAUCCCUACAUGAUAACUGCCAGCUCUAAUCCAGCUCAGACUUUCAAAAUAGGAGCCCAGUGCUUGUGUACUAAUUAAAAACAAUGAAGAAAUGGGAUGGAUGGCUUUAAAGGAAAAAAGUUAAAUUGGGAUGUGCAGUUAUUUAUUUUAUGUUUAUUCAUGGCUCUAACUUCUAUUUGAGUUGAUCCAAAGGAUUGUUAUUUUAUAUUAUGUAGUGCUAUAAACCUGUUUUAAAUUUUUGCUCAAGAAUACAUAAAUAGUAAAUAACAUAGCUAGGAUAUUUCUUAGUCUCAAAAACAUUCCUUUUUGCAUCUGGAAAUUUUUUACAGACUUCUCUUUGAGAACCAUUUCUGACUAAUGAUGUAAAGCUGGCUACGCAAGACUUGGUACUUACAAACCUGCUACAACACUCAGGUAAGCACUAGAAUUCAGCCUUGUCAUCUUGAUGGUGUUAUAGCUGCUUAGAUGCUAAAGUACAUUUCUUUAGACUAGAGUCUCCUCAGUGUUUCUUUAAUGUCAGAGAAUUCACAAGUGGCAUAACAUAGGUGAUAAAUUCAGAGCCAUUUUUAUUAGAAUGCUAACCUAGGUGUCUUUGAACAUGUUAAAGCAGAAUUAGAAAUUCUCCAGGUUUCAUUGAAAAUACUGUCUCUGUUGAGAAAAGAAUUUUAAAUCUAAAUUAGAUAUGAGAGUAAUAUAAUUAAGAAAUAGAAGGAGUUUAAUAUCUUACACCUAAUUCUGACCAAUAUGUUAAAAAUAAAUUCAGGCUUGUCAUUUCAGCCAGAUUUUAGAAGGUGGAAGCUGUUGUAUUUAGAUUCUUUGUAACCAGAUAUAUGAGGGCAACCUGUAAAACACUAUCUCCUCUGAGGUCAAGGAAUGACCUGGGGUCAAUAUUCUCCUCUGAUAAACAACAUGAGAAGACCUGACUUUUGGGUACUCGAGUAGCAUCAUAUAGUGCCAAGAUUUUUAUUCCUUUUAAACUGGUUUAAGGAAAAUCAGCUUCUCUGUCACUUUUCAAAACCUUUAUCUUAGGCUAUAUAGUUACUGAGUUAGUAACUUGGCACACCCUGCUUUUGCUAAUCAGAGCUCAAGGAAUAAAUCCUUGCAGUUUAAAUAUAUGUGGAAAUAGCUAGAAGAUGAUAGGGAAGUCCUCUAAUGACUAGCUGUGCUAGACAGUGUUAUAAAGCUCUAAUAAUAUUUUGAUUAUUCAGCUCUGAUAGUUUUUGAGCACUGGGCUGUAAAUUAGUGAAAUCAUAAAAUCUGACAUUUUGAUCACAGGGGAAAAAUCAUGUGAAUGAAACUGAAGAGAAACAUCAUCAGUUCUUUCACUUCUCUGCAGUAGGACAGACUGAGCAGUGCUGCUGCAGCCAGUGCUGAGCACUUCAGUGCCAGUAAGGAGUGACAGCUCCACCACUGCAAACCCAUGACAGGCUGUGGCUCUGCUCAGAAAGGAAAGCCAGGCAAAGACAGAAAGGAAAGGAAAUGGGGAUAAAAGGGGAUCCAGGUGGCAGGAUUUCCAGGCAGCACGGGCCUGCAGGAUGGGUGGGCACCAGCAGCUCUGUGUCCAAGGGGCUUCUCAUCCUCCCUGGGAAGGGAAUUGCUGUCCCUGCAGCCUCGUCCCAGCAUGAGAGCCCUGUGGCUGUGACCAAGCAAGGCUCACCCUGUGGAAGACUUCAGACGUUUCCAGAAGGUGUUGAAGCAAACUGUG